This 649-nucleotide long non-coding RNA is filed under the name Olea europaea (common olive). RNAcentral's name for it is "long non-coding RNA (OEUR_LNC013547)". The record is from RNAcentral. Lineage: Eukaryota; Viridiplantae; Streptophyta; Magnoliopsida; Lamiales; Oleaceae.
UAAUUUCUGUCUCUUUGAAAAGAAGUGUAAAUCAUAUUCAGAUAACAUAAUUCAGUACAUUCUCACAAUCUACAUCGAUCAAUGCAUAUCAAUUUAUUAACUUUCCCAUCUUGGCAUUUCAUGAAUUAUUGGUGGCAACAACUGCAAAAACAAAUACAGCAGUCAAGGCGUUUGCAAUUAACUGAGCCAAUUCAGCUCGGUUGGUUUCCAAUUGAAUAUUUGCACUGGAAAUAAAACAACCCAGAACUGGUAUGUUCGCUCUCUUCCUGACAGCUCCAAAACAACUUUUCGAAAUGUUUCUAAAAAAUAUAUUGUCUGGGUUGUUUGUUUAUUCAUUUUUUACGUCACUUUUAAUUGAAGCUUAAUUGAUUUUUAUUUCAUUUAUAUUUACAUUCUUGAAGAAUCUUAUUUCAAUUACCAAUUUCUUCGUUAAAGAUAUUAUUGUUCUUUGAUAUGACAAAUAAUUAUUGGCAAGAAAACACAUUUGGGUUAUUUAUUUGUUUAACUAUUUCCGGCUUAUAGUUGCUUCGUUUGAAGAGAUUUUAUUUUUGAUGUGCUGAAAAUAAAAUGAUCAGAACUGGUAUGUUCGUUCUCUUCCUGAUAGCCCCAAAACAACUUUUCAAAAUGUUUCUAUAAAAUAUAUUGUCCG